GCCAGUGUGGCCUAGUGGUUAGAGUGCCAGACUGGGAUCUCGGAGACCUGGGUUUGAAUCCUCCCUCUGCCA
RNAcentral lists this transfer RNA (72 nucleotides) under Sphaerodactylus townsendi. RNAcentral's name for it is "tRNA-Pro". The record is from RNAcentral. Lineage: Eukaryota; Metazoa; Chordata; Lepidosauria; Squamata; Sphaerodactylidae.